AGAACACUUGUCAAAUACCCAUUUGUGAUGCCUAGCAUGAAGGUUAGAGCCACAACUGGAACUUCUGUUUUCAGCCAUGUUGGUCCAUGGAGGCAUGCUGCGAAGAGCGGAUAGAACAGUAGCCUCAGAACACAACCCCAGGUGGCAGUCUUGAUGCUCUUCAAAACAUAGACUGCUGUUAUCGACUUGCCUAUUAAAUCUGAUGCAUUGUAUAUUGUUAUUAGCAGGAGUGGAUACCAGUCACUCAACAUGUUAGAUUUAAGAUCUUCGGCUAGGAAUCCUGGGAAGAUAGACAGGGUCACGACGUAGAUGGUUAGAAUACCGGAACCUGGCCACUGGAUUUUCCUCGCCACACCCCAGAAUUUCGGCCUUACAU
This 376-nucleotide long non-coding RNA is filed under the name Linum usitatissimum (flax). Its description in RNAcentral is "long non-coding RNA (LUSI_LNC003751)". Lineage: Eukaryota; Viridiplantae; Streptophyta; Magnoliopsida; Malpighiales; Linaceae. The record is from RNAcentral.